RNAcentral lists this ribosomal RNA (465 nucleotides) under Vreelandella stevensii. Its description in RNAcentral is "partial 16S ribosomal RNA". It matches the Rfam family "Bacterial small subunit ribosomal RNA", at positions 338 to 795 of the family's 1533-position model. Lineage: Bacteria; Pseudomonadati; Pseudomonadota; Gammaproteobacteria; Oceanospirillales; Halomonadaceae. The record is from RNAcentral.
CCUACGGGGGGCAGCAGUGGGGAAUAUUGGACAAUGGGGGGAACCCUGAUCCAGCCAUGCCGCGUGUGUGAAGAAGGCCCUCGGGUUGUAAAGCACUUUCAGUGAGGAAGAACGCCUGGUGGUUAAUACCCAUCAGGAAAGACAUCACUCACAGAAGAAGCACCGGCUAACUCCGUGCCAGCAGCCGCGGUAAUACGGAGGGUGCGAGCGUUAAUCGGAAUUACUGGGCGUAAAGCGCGCGUAGGUGGCUUGAUAAGCCGGUUGUGAAAGCCCCGGGCUCAACCUGGGAACGGCAUCCGGAACUGUCAAGCUAGAGUGCAGGAGAGGAAGGUAGAAUUCCCGGUGUAGCGGUGAAAUGCGUAGUGAUCGGGAGGAAUACCAGUGGCGAAGGCGGCCUUCUGGACUGACACUGACACUGAGGUGCGAAAGCGUGGGUAGCAAACAGGAUUAGAUACCCUAGUAGUC